Molecule: ribosomal RNA, 539 nt
Filed under: uncultured bacterium
Lineage: Bacteria
Description: bacterial SSU rRNA
Rfam family: Bacterial small subunit ribosomal RNA
Source: RNAcentral
AAUAGAUACCCAGGUAGUCCACGCCGUAAACGGUGGGUACUAGGUGUGGGUUCCUUCCUUGGGAUCCGUGCCGUAGCUAACGCAUUAAGUACCCCGCCUGGGGAGUACGGCCGCAAGGCUAAAACUCAGAGGAAUUGACGGGGGCCCGCACAAGCGGCGGAGCAUGUGGAUUAAUUCGAUGCAACGCGAAGAACCUUACCUGGGUUUGACAUAUGCAGGACGACAUCAGAGAUGGUGUUUCCCUUGUGGCCUGUUUACAGGUGGUGCAUGGCUGUCGUCAGCUCGUGUCGUGAGAUGUUGGGUUAAGUCCCGCAACGAGCGCAACCCUUGUUCCAUGUUGCCAGCGCGUAAUGGCGGGGACUCAUGGGAGACUGCCGGGGUCAACUCGGAGGAAGGUGGGGAUGACGUCAAGUCAUCAUGCCCCUUAUGUCCAGGGCUUCACACAUGCUACAAUGGCCGGUACAAAGGGCUGCGAUGCCGUAAGGUGGAGCGAAUCCUUUCAAAGCCGGUCUCAGUUCGGAUCGGGGUCUGCAACGUCC